GACGAACGCUGGCGGCGUGCUUAACACAUGCAAGUCGAACGGAAAGGCCCUGCUUUUGUGGGGUGCUCGAGUGGCGAACGGGUGAGUAACACGUGAGUAACCUGCCCUUGACUUUGGGAUAACUUCAGGAAACUGGGGCUAAUACCGGAUAGGAGCUCCUGCUGCAUGGUGGGGGUUGGAAAGUUUCGGCGGUUGGGGAUGGACUCGCGGCUUAUCAGCGUGUUGGUGGGGUAGUGGCUUACCAAGGCUUUGACGGGUAGCCGGCCUGAGGGGGUGACCGGCCACAUUGGGACUGAGAUACGGCACAGACUCCUACGGGAGGCAGCAGUGGGGAAUAUUGCACAAUGGGCGGAAGCCUGAUGCAGCAACGCCGCGUGCGGGAUGACGGCCUUCGGGUUGUAAACCGCUUUCGACUGUGACGAAGCGUGAGUGACGGUAAUGGGUAAAGAAGCACCGGCUAACUACGUG
RNAcentral lists this ribosomal RNA (468 nucleotides) under uncultured bacterium. RNAcentral describes it as "partial 16S ribosomal RNA". It matches the Rfam family "Bacterial small subunit ribosomal RNA", at positions 28 to 507 of the family's 1533-position model. The record is from RNAcentral.